UACAGGGGGGGCAAGCGUUGUUCGGAAUUACUGGGCGUAAAGGGCUCGUAGGCGGCCAACUAAGUCAGACGUGAAAUCCCUCAGCUUAACUGGGGAACUGCGUCUGAUACUGGAUGGCUUGAGUUCGGGAGAGGGAUGCGGAAUUCCAGGUGUAGCGGUGAAAUGCGUAGAGAUCCGGAGGAACGCCGGUGGCGCAAGCGGCCACCUGGGCCUGACCUGACGCUGAGGUGCGAAAGCGUGGGGAGCGAACCGG
Molecule: ribosomal RNA, 253 nt
Filed under: uncultured bacterium
Lineage: Bacteria
Description: partial 16S ribosomal RNA
Rfam family: Bacterial small subunit ribosomal RNA
Source: RNAcentral